UGCACUCGAUGUCCAGGACAAAGUUUGUUAC
Molecule: non-coding RNA, 31 nt
Filed under: Rattus norvegicus (Norway rat)
Lineage: Eukaryota; Metazoa; Chordata; Mammalia; Rodentia; Muridae
Source: RNAcentral